AAGUCUGGUGUCAGCCGCCGCGGUAAUACCAGCACCCCGAGUGGUCGGGACGUUUAUUGGGCCUAAAGCAUCCGUAGCCGGUUCUACAAGUCUUCCGUUAAAUCCACCUGCUUAACAGAUGGGCUGCGGAAGAUACUAUAGAGCUAGGAGGCGGGAGAGGCAAGCGGUACUCGAUGGGUAGGGGUAAAAUCCGUUGAUCCAUUGAAGACCACCAGUGGCGAAGGCGGCUUGCCAGAACGCGCUCGACGGUGAGGGAUGAAAGCUGGGGGAGCAAACCGGAUUAGAUACCCGGGUAGUCCCAGCUGUAAACGAUGCAGACUCGGUGAUGAGUUGGCUUAUUGCUAACUCAGUGCCGCAGGGAAGCCGUUAAGUUUGCCGCCUGGGGAGUACGGUCGCAAGACUGAAACUUAAAG
This 413-nucleotide ribosomal RNA is filed under the name uncultured Nitrososphaerota archaeon. RNAcentral describes it as "bacterial SSU rRNA". It matches the Rfam family "Archaeal small subunit ribosomal RNA", at positions 448 to 861 of the family's 1478-position model. The record is from RNAcentral. Lineage: Archaea; Thermoproteati; Nitrososphaerota.